Molecule: ribosomal RNA, 406 nt
Filed under: uncultured bacterium
Lineage: Bacteria
Description: partial 16S ribosomal RNA
Rfam family: Bacterial small subunit ribosomal RNA
Source: RNAcentral
AUUGAACGCUGGCGGCAGGCCUAACACAUGCAAGUCGAACGAGUGGCGGACGGGUGAGUAAUGUCUGGGAAACUGCCUGAUGGAGGGGGAUAACUACUGGAAACGGUAGCUAAUACCGCAUACCAAACGAGGUGCACAGAUGGGCUUAGCUAGUUGGUGGGGUAACGGCUCACCAAGGAGACGAUCCCUAGCUGGUCUGAGAGGAUGACCAGGCACACUGGAACGGAGACACGGUCGAGACUCCUACGGGAGGCAGCAGUGGGGAAUAUUGCACAAUGGGCGCAAGCCUGAUGCAGCCAUGCCGCGUGUAUGAAGAAGGCCUUCGGGUUGUAAAGUACUUUCAGCGGGGAGGCGUUACCCGCAGAAGAAGCACCGGCUAACUCCGUGCCAGCCGCCGCGGUAAUAC